CACCUCUCAGGGUUGCACCUGGAGAGUUACCAGUACUCUACCAGUCUUGACUUAUGGGAGGGAGAGUCAAGCAGAGGCCUACCCAUUCCAUUCCUAGCUUGGGCUGUGGCUAGCAAGUGGAAGGCAAUCUACUACAAGU
Molecule: small nucleolar RNA, 139 nt
Organism: Ornithorhynchus anatinus (platypus)
Lineage: Eukaryota; Metazoa; Chordata; Mammalia; Monotremata; Ornithorhynchidae
Source: RefSeq, a predicted model, not a curated record